Molecule: ribosomal RNA, 433 nt
Filed under: uncultured bacterium
Lineage: Bacteria
Description: partial 16S ribosomal RNA
Rfam family: Bacterial small subunit ribosomal RNA
Source: RNAcentral
AACGAACGCUGGCGGCAUGCCUAACACAUGCAAGUCGAACGAGACCUUCGGGUCUAGUGGCGCACGGGUGCGUAACGCGUGGGAAUCUGCCCUUGGGUUCGGAAUAACAGUUGGAAACGACUGCUAAUACCGGAUGAUGACGUAAGUCCAAAGAUUUAUCGCCCAAGGAUGAGCCCGCGUAGGAUUUGCUAGUUGGUGAGGUAAAGGCUCACCAAGGCGACGAUCCUUAGCUGGUCUGAGAGGAUGAUCAGCCACACUGGGACUGAGACACGGCCCAGACUCCUACGGGAGGCAGCAGUGGGGAAUAUUGGACAAUGGGCGAAAGCCUGAUCCAGCAAUGCCGCGUGAGUGAUGAAGGCCUUAGGGUUGUAAAGCUCUUUUACCCGGGAUGAUAAUGACAGUACCAGGAGAAUAAGCGCCGGCUAACUCCGUG